GUUGAAUUCUGAAUAUAAUAUGUACUAAAGACACUUUAUGUCAAAUGACAAAUUUAAAAAUGGAUCAGAUCAAAAUAUCAUAAUCAAUUCACAGGUAAUUACCCAUACUUAACAGAAGGAAUAUAAGCUGUUUUAAAAGUGGAUUUGGGUUGUGUGUGUUUUUUUUUUUUUCUGAGGCUCUCUCCUUUGCUUAUAUCUUUAAGUGAUCAGUUGAUUAGGUAAUGGGUACUUGAGGCAAAAAAGGGGCAGGAUACAAAUUUAAGAGUUUAAGGAACUAUAUUACACUUGUAAAGAGAAAAAGUGGGAUGCAGGGUGUAGGUUGAACAGGAGUAGUGGGGUGGCAAAGUAUGAGCUCCUGAGUUAAUACCUAGGAAACUGGGCUUUCUGCCAUAAAAAAGACACAAAUCUUUGUGGUGACCUAAUUAAAGUUCUUAAAAUUCAAUUUGGACAGUUAGGAAGCUCAGCUCCUUUCCAGGAGGAAUAAGGAGUCAGUGCAAUGACCUAACUGAUCCUGGGCUGCUUGCCAUUUCAAAUAACUGGAGUGGGUUUAUCAGCUUCUCUUGGGGACCCAGGCUUCCUGAUCACAGUCUUGAGUAAAGGAGAGUGUCCUGAGGGGUCACACUGGUGUCAUGGCCCAACAGUGGUUGCCAUGACUAGAGGACAUGCUUUUUGAGAAGGAAAACUGAUGUUUCUUUCAACUGUUGCUAUGAAAGUUUUUGGAGUAAAGAAGAAAGGACAUCCUCUCAAAACCAUCCAUGCAUCCUUCUAAUCCUUUCACACGUCCAUCCAUCCAUCCAUCUCUCUAUUCAUCCGUACAACAUAUACUGAGCACUUAUUCCUACCAAAUAUGGGGGACACAACACUAAAUAUGACACAAUUGAUACUUUGAAAGCACUCAGUCUUCAUGCAAAUACAUGUAACUAAAACAAUGAAGUGUAAGCUCAAGGCUCCAAGUAAGAAGUCCUGAGUCUGAGUGUUUAUUCUAUAAUUUAAAUGGCCAUGUGGUCUUGGGCAACACACUUUUCUCUAGGACAAUACUGUCAUCCAUAAAAGAGUACAGCUAGACUAGAACACUCUCUGAUGUCUCUUCCAGGUCAGACAUGGUAAAAUUCUAUGUCCAGACAAAUUCAGUUUAAAAUAAGCUUAUCACAUAAGUGCAGAUACUGUAAUGAUGUAGUAAGUGGUCUCCUCUGUCUACCUGGCCUCCCUAAUCUAUCUAUCUCCUAUAAUGUAGGCAGAGUGGUCCUUUCUAAAGAAAAUCUAUCUUGUUUCUCUUUUCAUUUGUCCUCUAAGGGUAGAUUCCUAUUCCUUUUAGGCUAAAGAUGAACAUUCUUAAAGAGGUCUUUGUGGCCUUGUUUAACUCUUCACCUCAUUUUACCUCAAACCUGGAAUAGUCUUCUUUGCAUUUUAAACUUUGUUCCUCUUGUUACAAGGCCUCUGUCUGGACCACUUCUCUUUCCCUCAUCCUCUGCCCAGGGAGAAUCACUCAUCUUUCAGAGAGCAGCCUACUUGCCAUUUCUUCAGGGAUACUUUCUCUCACCUCCCAGGCAAGGCCUGGCUCCUUUGUUAUAUAUGCACACAGAGCUGUGUUUCUUCUCUAGAGCACAAAUCUUACCCCUGACCUAAGCCUUAACAUUGGGGUCUUUUUGUUUAAUGUUUGACUCCCCUACCAGUUUCUCAGACUCAGGAUAGCAGGAACAGUGGUUGGGAGUGAGUCUGGAAGUCAGACAGGGUGACUGGAGUCAUGGCUGCAGCACUGGGCAAGUCACUCUGCUCUAAACCUCAACUUUCUCAUCUAUAAAGAUAAUAGUAUGCUUAUCAUUGGGUUGUUGGGAGAGGAAAAUGGAAUUACAAAGCCUUAGAGCUUAAUGCAGGGCCCAGCAUGUAUUCAGUGCUCUCUACACAGGAACUGUUAUCAAUGUGCUCAAUUCUUCCUUUGUUGUGUUUCUAUGCAGGUCCAUCUGGCCUCCAUUUGAUUCCCAAGGGGACCCAUUUGCCAGAUGUGGGUGCCUUUGGGAACUGUUCCCCUUCAUAGUCCCAAUCCUUGAAUCCUCUCUUCUCUCCACAGCACACGAAGUCCAUCAGGUACCAGAGUUGGCUCUCCUUUUGAAAAUUUACCCAGAAUCCAACUGCUUUUCUACCCUUCUGCAGCUAACACUCUGGUCUAAGCUGCAAGCAGCUCUCACGCAGAUGAUUGCAAUGGCCUCCUAACUGGUCUCCCUGGCUCUGCCUUUAUCCCCUAGUCUUUUCCUGGCAUAGCAGUCAGAACAAGACUGUUAAAAUCUAAAUCGGAUUAUGAUACUCCUCUGCUGGAAAACCUCUGAUGGCUCCCAUCAUACUUAGAAUGAAACCCAAAUCCUGCUCUUCAAAACAGUCAUGAUUGGCCCUAGGCAACUUUUCUGAUCCUAUCCAUCCCCCUAAUACAUAGGCUCCUGCUACAGUGGCCUUCAUAUCACGUGCUGGAAAGCCUCUUCACCUGGAAACUUGCAACCUGGCCUCCCCAUCUCCUUUAGGUCUUUGUUCUCAGGUCACAUUCUCAGUUAGGCCUUCCCUAACACCUUAUUUAAUGUUUCCAUUCCUACUCCACAUUGGACGCUUUUCCUAUAAUCCCCUUUCCAUUUUAUUUUCCCCACAGCAUUUGAUAUUAUUUGAAGUACUAUAUAUUUUACAUAUUUGCCUAUUGCCAGUCUUUUCCAUUGUGAUUUCUAUUAUGAAAGUGCUUUUGUUCUUUGUCAUUGUUGUUGUUGUUCCAUGCUGUAGCCUCAGUGCAUAGGUUAUUACAGAAACAACAUGCUAGAUGCUUAAUAAAUAUUUGUUGCAUGAAUGUAUGAAUAAUUGAAUUGUCAACUCAGUUCUCAGGGUAUGGUUGCCUUCUAUGCCUACUCAGAAACCGUCCUGGAUUAUAUGGUUCCCUGAACCUCUUCUUAAUAGGUGGACUCCACCACAAUUAAAUUUCUGAAUUCCAUGAAUUGCAGUCAAUCCUUAAUCUUAGAUGUCUCUGAUAGCCAGGUCAAACUUCAAGCACUGUGAUACAUUUUUGGAGAGUGAAGAAUGAGUUAUAUUUUUGAUGUAGAAAUAUUCUGAUGCUUUCCUCCUAAAGGCGAAUUAUUUCUCUUAGGUCACUAGAAAUAUCUCUUGGUUUCCUAAACUACAGACAUACUUACUGAUGUGCAUAAGUAGCCAAGGUGGUAAGAAACAAUCUAAAGUUUACCAUGAUGCCUAGCCUUGAGAAAGAAGGUGGAUCAUAUACAUAUUUGUUUCUCAUGUUCCAAUCCUUAAACAGAAAAAUAGAAUCCCUUUUAGAAGACUGGCUGGCCAAAUUUGGGGCUGUACCUUCUUUCAAUUUUGGAGAAUAGUAGCUUAACUUUUAAAGGAAAAUUAGAGUCAGCUCUGAGGAAGAAAGUGGUCAAUGGUGGUGGUGCCCAGAAGAACAUAUCAGGCUUGUUCAUGUUGGAACACAUGCUAGUAAAAAAUGAGUACUGGAAGGUUUGUGACAAAGACACCUGCUGAGUAACACACUUACAGAUACAUGUACAACAGGACAUCAACCUAGGAAAGAUUUGAGAGAUGAGCAGAAGAUGCCACUAAAAUCAGAUUCUGCUGAGGACCAGCAUAUUAUCCGAAUGGGAACCUAAAUGGGAGGGGGAGGGGAAGAGAACUCUGACACCUCCUUCUGGUGUGGCAGUGGACUGGGAAGGGCACAGGUGCAGAAUGGUUGAGUAUUGGCUUGCUGGUCUGAUGGCCACAUGUGGACAUAUGGAAGGAGAAGACAUUAAAACUUCCAGUACUGAGAUACAACCAAUGAUAUAUUGUGAUUAUAUAAUUUUUUUGUUAUUGUUCAUCAAAAUUUUCUGCAUCCUCAUAAAACUGAAAAUGAUGGCUGAAAAUGAUGGUACCCAGGGGUACCGAAUGGGGGCUCCUAUUAGGAAACAUAUGCUAUCAAAAAUGGUAACUUGGGGAAUUCCCAUUGUGGCUCAUCAUUCUCAAUUCAUGAGUUGUUGCCCAGCUUUCAUCUGUUCCCUGCUAUACUUUAGUUUAGGGUCUGCAACUCUUCAGAAAUUUCCCAUUACAUUUCCAUGACCCUUUGGCAGACAUCCCUACUCAUUCAUAACAUUCUUUCCUGCAGAUACAGGAAGGUAUUCAUAGUCCUGCUCAACUCUGUCCUCCAUGCAGCCAUUACUAAUAGAUCACAGAUGAAAUCCAUGGGCAUCUUCCCCAAUGCAGUGUCUUUGCUGUCCCUCAUUCCCUGCUUUAUUUUUGUUGUUUAUCAACUAUUGAGUACCUCUAGUGUUC
This 4293-nucleotide long non-coding RNA is filed under the name Sus scrofa (pig). RNAcentral describes it as "lncRNA (ENSSSCG00030012426.1)". Lineage: Eukaryota; Metazoa; Chordata; Mammalia; Artiodactyla; Suidae. The record is from RNAcentral.